UGGGGAAUAUUGCACAAUGGGCGGAAGCCUGAUGCAGCGACGCCGCGUGGGGGAUGAAGGCCUUCGGGUUGUAAACUCCUUUCGACAGGGACGAAGCUUUUGUGACGGUACCUGUCUAAGAAGCACCGGCUAACUACGUGCCAGCAGCCGCGGUAAUACGUAGGGUGCGAGCGUUGUCCGGAAUUACUGGGCGUAAAGAGCUCGUAGGUGGUUUGUCGCGUCGUCUGUGAAAUUCCGGGGCUUAACUCCGGGCGUGCAGGCGAUACGGGCUGACUUGAGUGCUGUAGGGGAGACUGGAAUUCCUGGUGUAGCGGUGAAAUGCGCAGAUAUCAGGAGGAACACCGAUGGCGAAGGCAGGUCUCUGGGCAGUAACUGACGCUGAGGAGCGAAAGCAUGGGUAGCGAACAGG
RNAcentral lists this ribosomal RNA (409 nucleotides) under Actinomycetes bacterium. RNAcentral's name for it is "Actinobacteria bacterium partial 16S ribosomal RNA". It matches the Rfam family "Bacterial small subunit ribosomal RNA", at positions 355 to 776 of the family's 1533-position model. Lineage: Bacteria; Bacillati; Actinomycetota; Actinomycetes. The record is from RNAcentral.